UCUCUUAGAUUUUUUUUUUAUAUUAGUAUUUCAAUGCCUCUCUCUCUACUCUCUCUGCUUUUAUAUACACUACACCACUAUAUAUACAAGUCAAAACACCAUAUGGGUUAGGCUUUCUAUGCAGGGGAAGAAAAGGUGUGUGGGUGUGUUGAGGGGAAUGUUGGCUGGCUCGAAGCUUAAGCAAAGAGUUUCCUAACAUGAAACAACUGUUAAGGCUUCGGACCAGGCUUCAUUCCCCUCAAACAUACAAGCUUAUUUUAUGCAUUUCAUGUGCAAAUUCAUCAGUUAUUCUGUUACAUCUUUCUCUCUCUCUUUGUUUAUCAGAAGUUAUAGCAUGAGUUCAGUUUCGUGAGGGUUAGGUUGAGAGGGAUGUUGUCUGGCUCGAGGUCAUUGAGGCCAUGAUUAUACAGACAUGGCAUUACCUGAUGACAGCCGAGAAAAUUCAAAGUCUGUGUGUAUCUUGUACCUCGAUGAUUCUCGGACCAGGCUUCAUUCCUUCCAACAAACAUUUGCUACAAUUUCUUUGCUUGCCAAACAUGAUUCUCUUAACUACAGUUCCAUAAUAUCAACUUCUGGUUGCUAGCUUAGCUUUUCUUUUAGUUCCAUCUCAGCUAUGUGGUCAAUACUCCUAAAUACAACGAAGGUAAGCUUAUAUAACAACUAUUUCCCACCUUGGAUGAGAAUAGCAUCUCUCUCUCUCUCUCUCUCUCCAAAAAAAAAUAAACAACACAGACAGACAGAAAACCAUACAGACUACAGUAGUUUCUUGACUAUUCCUUACUUAACAUGAUAUAACAGAGAUUUAAGAGAAUUAUUUUCUCUAACUCAGAUGUGGGAUCUAGCUAGCCAUGAAUGCCUACAUUUGACGUGGACAAGAUAGCAGGUGCAGUGAAAAGCCAUUGGAUUUUGAAAUUGUUAGCAGGAACCUAGCUAAAACCUACACUUUCUUCCAUAGAGUCCAAAAGGCAGCCUUCUAUAUAGCCUCAAGUUUAAUACUGCUCCCCCUUUUAAGAAUCUAAGGUAAGGGAUAUGUUAGAAACAUGCAAGAAAAGACAUCCAUCUGUUUCUCUUUCCUAGUAAAUUAAUGGGUGCAUUCCCAUGCAAACGAUUAUAUCAAAUUAGAAGCAAAUCUUCAGUAACCAGGUAGAUGCUGGAUACAUAUGAUCAGUUACCCUAAAUAGCCCAUGAUUAUAUAGCUUUCAAAUGGUUAUAUUUCAUUCCCAAUUUAGCAACUAAAAUUAGACUAUUGUUUUAUGUGUUUUUGCUCAGAAAGAUGAUGUGGGCUAUGACUUAUGAACUAAGCUUAGCAUUGAAACGUAACUGUUGCAUUUGUUUUGGGGCUUUGUUUUGUUGUAAGAAGUUAGCAUUUAAGGGCCGAGUCAUGAAAAAUACUGAAUUAAAAGAUUCCAUUCGUAGAUGUGAACAGUUAACAAGAGAAGAAAGGCAGCUAGCUUCUCGGUUAUCAUAGAUCCUUAUGAUCAACUUUUUUGUUGCCAUUAACUAUUUAUGACCCAGAAAAACCUGCAUAUUAUAUGACAACGAAAAACUUUACUGGAAAAGAAAGAGAGAGAGAGAGAGAGAGAGAGAGAAGCACAGAGAAAAUGGUGUAGUGCAUUUAUGACAAGGGCUUUUGAGUUGUUGAAAAAAUCAGAUAAUUAUACUAUCCUUAGAAAAGCUAGCUAGCUCACAGAUUUCAAACAUGGCAGGGUCUUCUCUUGCUUGUUUCUCUCGUGGAGGAAGGUCCAGAUAUUUUGGCUUUUGAAAAGCCAACGUCAAUUUCAAUUUUCCAUUAGAGAGAAGAGCAGAGAGAGGAAGGGAGAGUAAAUGACGACUAUCUGACGCUUCUUGGGAAAUGUAACGAGAUAGAGAAGGCAUUAAUAGAUGGAUAGACAUGGUAUUGUUCCACCAACAUCAAUCUCUCCUGUUUGACAGCUUCAUCAUCAUGUAUUUAUUAUUAUUGAGUACUUCAAUACCAGCUAGCUCUGAUGGCUAGCUUAUUAGGGUUCUGUAGUGUUACAGUGUUGUGUGAAAGUAAUGUGAAGCUAUUUGUGGCACAGGAAUAUACUACCAUCUUCCAAGCUUUGUAGCUA
Molecule: long non-coding RNA, 2090 nt
Organism: Populus nigra (black poplar)
Lineage: Eukaryota; Viridiplantae; Streptophyta; Magnoliopsida; Malpighiales; Salicaceae
Exons: 2
Source: RefSeq, a predicted model, not a curated record